UUUAUGUGCAUUUGUCCAUAUUUUAAUGUUAUUGUCUGACAGAAUCUCAUUCAUUUAAUUAUUUUUGGCUUCCUAGUUGCCAGCAAAGGAGCUGUAUAAGGUCCAUCUUCAAAAACAAAUAAGAAAAAGUGACAUGGAGAUGGACCUUAUACAGCUUCAAAUGGAGGCGAAAAGGCUAUCCAUAAAAAAAGCAACAUUAGAAAUAGAAUUACUGGAGCAUCGCCUUAAGGAAAUAAAGAAAUGAACCACACCGCAGACCAGUGCACACAAUUUAAUAAAAGUAAUUCUGAGAAAUCCUG
Polypterus senegalus (gray bichir) is the source of this 299-nucleotide long non-coding RNA. RefSeq lists it as uncharacterized. The transcript is spliced from 2 exons. NCBI's taxonomy places the organism in Eukaryota, Metazoa, Chordata, Cladistia, Polypteriformes, Polypteridae. The record is from RefSeq and is a predicted model, not a curated record.